GAUGAACGCUGGCGGCGUGCCUAAUACAUGCAAGUCGAGCGAACGGACGAGAAGCUUGCUUCUCUGAUGUUAGCGGCGGGCGGGUGAGUAACACGUGGAUAACCUACCUAUAAGACUGGGAUAACUUCGGGAAACCGUAGCUAAUACCGGAUAAUAUUUUGAACCGCAUGGUUCAAAAGUGAAAGACGGUCUUGCUGUCACUUAUAGAUGGAUCCGCGCUGCAUUAGCUAGUUGGUAAGGUAACGGCUUACCAAGGCAACGAUGCAUAGCCGACCUGAGAGGGUGAUCGGCCACACUGGAACUGAGACACGGUCCAGACUCCUACGGGAGGCAGCAGUAGGGAAUCUUCCGCAAUGGGCGAAAGCCUGACGGAGCAACGCCGCGUGAGUGAUGAAGGUCUUCGGAUCGUAAAACUCUGUUAUUAGGGAAGAACAUAUGUGUAAGUAACUGUGCACAUCUUGACGGUACCUAAUCAGAAAGCCACGGCUAACCACGUG
This 497-nucleotide ribosomal RNA is filed under the name uncultured bacterium. RNAcentral's name for it is "partial 16S ribosomal RNA". It matches the Rfam family "Bacterial small subunit ribosomal RNA", at positions 28 to 507 of the family's 1533-position model. The record is from RNAcentral.